CCGUCUUUUACACACACUGUACACGUAUAUGUAACUCAUUAAUUUGUACACAUUACAUAACAUGCAUUGUACAACAAACAUGGAAAAAUUAGUAAAAAAAUUAAGGAGAAAGAAAAAGCAGAUUAGAAUAUUUCUUUUUUUUUCUUUCAACAACUUAUCGUCGGAAACCAGCCAUUGCCGCCGCCUGUCCCCUCCUCUUUUUCGGGGGAUAGCGCCGGAGCCGGCGCUAUCCCCCUCCCCUUACCUAUGCCAUCACUCCCCUCCCCAGAUCUGCCACCGCUGAUCGUCAGCCAAACUACGGCACCAUGACAAUGCCCUUCUCUCUUUUCAAUACUGCCUCCAGAUCUAAUUACCGAACGACCAACAUCCCAAAUUAACAACUCCGAUGAUCCUCAACCGUACCAUCCUGCCAAAAAAUGGCUUACCAGCUUCAACCCUGCGAAUUCGGCUAUAUCUCUUUCAGAUCUGCCAGCAACCCAUCCUAGAUUCUAACCACCGUCAUUUAAGUCCGAGCAAAAAUCUGACUUUGACAAUCUCUGUUUUUCUAUGUCAAUGUUAAUAUUUUGUAAAUAAUCAUAAAUAGAGGAUGGAGAUAAGUAUCUGGGUUUUUCGUAUAUGCAUAAAUUCUAAGAGAAAAAUAGAGUAUGAGAUGAUAAUAGUGAGUGUGGGAAUACGUGAUAGAAUUAUGUGUCAAUAUUGGGUUAACAGAUGUUGUGAGAGGAUGUGGAUUUUAUUGUAAAUUAAGACAGUGUAAUAAAUAAGUUUAUAAAUAGCAUUAAUAAAGUUUGGAAUAAAUAAUUUUAUAUGUUAAUAAAAAUUUAAAAAAUGAAGGAGUGUUGUAUUGGAAUAUGUGUCUUGAGAAGAAAAUUU
Molecule: long non-coding RNA, 870 nt
Filed under: Capsicum annuum
Lineage: Eukaryota; Viridiplantae; Streptophyta; Magnoliopsida; Solanales; Solanaceae
Description: long non-coding RNA (CANN_LNC022552)
Source: RNAcentral